CGCCCCCGGCGCGCGGGCAUUUGGGAGACACCUAGUUGUGGGCGCCUGCGAGUUGCGUGGUGUGGCCGGCGCCCGGGGGCGAGCGGGACUGGUUGGGCGGCGGGAGCCGGUGAGUGCGGGCCCGCAGGGCACUGGGCGUCCUCCUCGCAGCUCCAGGCGGUGCCGGGGCGCCGCGGCGGCGAACCCGGGCUGGGAGCGGCUGCCGCCGAGCUUAAGUGUCCGCUCGCGCCCGACUGCUUUUCAGUGUGGACCCGGAAUCCUCAAAAGAAGAAGGGAGUGGUGAAGAGGGGAAGGUGGAGAUGAGGGUUUAUUUUUUCUUUUCCCCAAUGUGGGAAGAAAUGAAAGACGUUCGUUGUACUUGCUCAGCAAACAAGCACGUGACCCAAGUCUUUAUUCGGGCUUCGUAGCAGUCAUCAAGCUGAAUGUUUCCCCUCCAGUGAAAGCAAGCGGGAGUGGCAGGAGGAGGGACUUGGAAAAAGAUCGAGGAGCGGAAGGAGGUGUCAGCAUCUUCUCUCCUGCUUACGACCGUUGCGAUACGUCAUCACUGACCUGGAGAAAUUCACCCCAGCCGAGAGUACAGGGCAGAGUUCCCGAUGUCACUGGGCACCCAGCCCUAAGGAGCUCUGUGAUUCAUCGCAGAUCCGGAAGGAUGGCUAAAAUCCACAGUCGUAGUACAGUAGUUGCUGAAGUGCUCACAUUGGACUUAUGUCUGGGAAAAACUACUUUGGCUGACUGUCUUAUAUCUAGCAAUGGAAUAUUCUCCAGCCGCCUGGCAGGCAAGUUGAGGUACAUGGACAGCAGAGAAGACAAACAGGUCCGAGGGAUCACUAUGAAAUCCAGUGCCAUCUCCCUGCAUUAUGCGGAAGGUGAUGAGGAGUACCUGAUUAACCUAAUAGACUCUCCAGGCCACGUGGGUUUCUCCUCAGAAGUGUCCACGGCUGUUCACAUCUGUGACGGGUGCAUCGUCAUAGUAGACGCUGUGGAAGGCAUCUGCCCGCAGAAUUGAGCACUUUGCCAAAAUCUACAGUCAAAAAACUUGCAUCAGAAAGGAAGUUCUUUUGGAAGCAUUGUGGGGAGAUUACUAUAUAAAUAUGAAGGCUAAGAAGAUUGUGAAGGUAGAUCAGGCAAAAGGAAAGAAAUCUUUAUUUGUACAGUUGAUCCUGGAAAAUAUAUGGAGUUUGUAUGAGGCUGUCUUGAAAAAGUUUUUGUAAAUCUUGAUGCUGCAGUUUGGGGCACUGAUUAGACUAUUAUUACCCAGAGAAGGCAAUGGCACCCCACUCCAGUACUCUUGCCUGGAAAAAUCCCAUGGACAUAGGAGCCUGGUAGGCUGAGUCCGUGGGGUCGCUAAGACUCCAACACUACUGAGCGACUUCACUUUCACUUUUCACUUGCUUGCAUCGGAGAAGGAAAUAGCAACCCGCUCGACUGUACUUCCCUGGAGAAUCGAAGGGAGUGUGGAGCUUGAUGGCCUGCCGUCUAUGGAGUGGGACAGACUCGAACAUGACUUAAGCGACUUAGCAACAGCAGCAGCUGAGUAUUACCAAAGAGAAAUUGGGGUUAAUCAGAUUUUUAACACUUGUUUGUGUCUCACAUUACUGCCGUGAUAGGAACAUGAUAUGUUCCUUAUCCUAAAGUCUACAUUUUCAUAUGGAAAUGACGUAGAUAAUUUUUAACCUUCAUAAGCAUGUACAUUUAUUAUGAAGGUUUUUUUAUUCUACUGUGCUCUCCAGAUUUUUGUUUUAUUUUUCCGAUUCCUUAGCUAAACUCACUUCUGAAAUGUUAAAAUGUUUACUUCUACUUCCUUUUUAAAAAAGUAUAAUUGCUUUCCAAUGCAGUCACA
Cervus elaphus (red deer) is the source of this 1840-nucleotide RNA transcript. It is a transcript of the gene named elongation factor-like GTPase 1, with no coding region annotated. The record is from RefSeq and is a predicted model, not a curated record. The transcript has 7 exons. Lineage: Eukaryota; Metazoa; Chordata; Mammalia; Artiodactyla; Cervidae.